AUAUUGUACAACGGGGGCAACCCGUAUCCAGCCAUGCCGCGUGUGUGAAGAAGGUNCUNNGAUUGNANAGCAAUUUAAGUUGGNNNNNAUUGCUUUAGGCUAAUUCCCUGAAGUUGUGACGUUACCAACAGAAUAAGCACCGGCGAACUGUGCGCCAGCAGCCGCGGUAAUACAGAGGGUGCAAGCGUUAAUCGGAAUUACUGGGCGUAAAGCGCGCGUAGGUGGUUCAGUAAGAUGGGUGUGAAAUCCCCGGGCUCAACCUGGGAACUGCUUUCAUAACUGCUGGGCUAGAGUACGGUAGAGGGUAGUGGAAUUUCCUGUGUAGGGGUGAAAUGCGUAGAUAUAGGAAGGAACACCAGUGGCGAAGGCGACUACCUGGACUGAUACUGACACUGAGGUGCGAAAGCGUGGGGAGCAAACA
RNAcentral lists this ribosomal RNA (421 nucleotides) under uncultured bacterium. RNAcentral describes it as "partial 16S ribosomal RNA". It matches the Rfam family "Bacterial small subunit ribosomal RNA", at positions 361 to 774 of the family's 1533-position model. The record is from RNAcentral.